This 197-nucleotide long non-coding RNA is filed under the name Mustela putorius furo (domestic ferret). RNAcentral describes it as "lncRNA (ENSMPUG00000031091.1)". Lineage: Eukaryota; Metazoa; Chordata; Mammalia; Carnivora; Mustelidae. The record is from RNAcentral.
UGCUGGCUGCUGCUGUAGGACGUUCAUCAGCACAGAUGACCAGGGCUCACACCAGCGUUCCUGCAAGCCAACGAAGUGCUCAGACAAAUUGACACGACAAACUGAAAAGCAGAAGUUAGUGUUCAAAGAAGUUCAAGAGUAAACAUUUAGUCAAUUCGUCUGUCGGAUGGAGAGAGAUUCAGUGCACCAGAGUCCAG